AGGAUAAUAGUUAAAUUUAACAUUUAAAUUGCAAUUAAAAAUUAUUGGUCAAAUCCAUUUUAUCUUA
This 67-nucleotide transfer RNA is filed under the name Coleoptera sp. 4 AH-2016. RNAcentral's name for it is "tRNA-Ala". It matches the Rfam family "tRNA". Rfam says of the family: Transfer RNA (tRNA) molecules are approximately 80 nucleotides in length. Their secondary structure includes four short double-helical elements and three loops (D, anti-codon, and T loops). Lineage: Eukaryota; Metazoa; Arthropoda; Insecta; Coleoptera. The record is from RNAcentral.